This 505-nucleotide ribosomal RNA is filed under the name uncultured bacterium. RNAcentral's name for it is "partial 16S ribosomal RNA". It matches the Rfam family "Bacterial small subunit ribosomal RNA", at positions 30 to 523 of the family's 1533-position model. The record is from RNAcentral.
AUUGAACGCUGGCGGCAGGCUUAACACAUGCAAGUCGAGCGGUAACAGAGAGAAGCUUGCUUCUCUGCUGACGAGCGGCGGACGGGUGAGUAAUGCCUAGGAAUCUGCCUAGUAGUGGGGGAUAACUUGCCGAAAGGUAAGCUAAUACCGCAUACGUCCUACGGGAGAAAGGAGGGGACCUUCGGGCCUUUCGCUAUUAGAUGAGCCUAGGUCGGAUUAGUUAGUUGGUGAGGUAAUGGCUCACCAAGACCGCGAUCCGUAACUGGUCUGAGAGGAUGAUCAGUCACACUGGAACUGAGACACGGUCCAGACUCCUACGGGAGGCAGCAGUGAGGAAUAUUGGACAAUGGGGGGAACCCUGAUCCAGCCAUGCCGCGUGUGUGAAGAAGGUCUUAGGAUUGUAAAGCACUUUAAGUUGGGAGGAGAGCAGUUAACUAAUAUUUGACUGUUUUGACGUUACCGACAGAAUAAGCACCGGCUAACUUCGUGCCAGCCGCCGCAGUAA